CUGACAAGCCUGGAAACUGAAGGCCUCUGUUUAUCCACAGGAUAGGUUAAAUUUCCCUAACCUACACCAUGUUUCAUCUCUCUGAUGGAGGGACCACCCAAAGGCAAACAAGGAGAGUUCAGUCUGCCUGGCUCACUCAAUCCUUCCGCUCUC
This is an unclassified non-coding RNA of Gopherus agassizii (Agassiz's desert tortoise), 153 nucleotides long. The record is from Ensembl. NCBI's taxonomy places the organism in Eukaryota, Metazoa, Chordata, Testudines, Testudinidae.